RNAcentral lists this ribosomal RNA (497 nucleotides) under uncultured bacterium. RNAcentral's name for it is "partial 16S ribosomal RNA". It matches the Rfam family "Bacterial small subunit ribosomal RNA", at positions 28 to 507 of the family's 1533-position model. The record is from RNAcentral.
GAUGAACGCUGGCGGCGUGCCUAAUACAUGCAAGUCGAGCGAACAGACGAGGAGCUUGCUCCUCUGACGUUAGCGGCGGACGGGUGAGUAACACGUGGAUAACCUACCUAUAAUACUGGUAUAACUUCGGGAAACCGGAGCUAAUACCGGAUAAUAUAUUGAACCGCAUGGUUCAAUAGUGAAAGACGGUUUUGCUGUCACUUAUAGAUGGAUCCGCGCCGCAUUAGCUAGUUGGGAAGGUAACGGCUUACCAAGGCAACGAUGCGUAGCCGACCUGAGAGGGGGAUCGGCCGCACUGGAACGGAGACACGGUCCAGACUACUAAGGGAGGCAGCAGUAGGGAAUCUUCCGCAAUGGGCGAAAGCCUGACGGAGCAACGCGGCGUGAGUGAUGAAGGUCUUCGGAUCGUAAAACUCUGUUAUUAGGGAAGAACAAAUGUGUAAGUAACUAUGCACGUCUUGACGGUACCUAAUCAGAAAGCCACGGCUAACUACGUG